Molecule: ribosomal RNA, 450 nt
Filed under: uncultured bacterium
Lineage: Bacteria
Description: partial 16S ribosomal RNA
Rfam family: Bacterial small subunit ribosomal RNA
Source: RNAcentral
GUGGGGAAUAUUCCGCAAUGGACGAAAGUCUGACGGAGCAACGCCGCGUGAGUGAUGAAGGUUUUCGGACUGUAAAGCUCUGUUGUUUAGGACGAAAGUGCCUGUUGCGAAUAGUUACAGGUAUUGACGGUACUGAACGAGGAAGCCACGGCUAACUACGUGCCAGCAGCCGCGGUAAUACGUAGGUGGCAAGCGUUGUCCGGAAUUAUUGGGCGUAAAGAGCAUGUAGGCGGGAAUCUAAGUCUGUUGUGAAAAUGCGGGGCUCAACCCCGUAUUGCGAUGGAAACUGGGUUUCUUGAGUGCAGGAGAGGAAAGGGGAAUUCCCAGUGUAGCGGUGAAAUGCGUAGAUAUUGGGAGGAACACCAGUGGCGAAGGCGCCUUUCUGGACUGUGUCUGACGCUGAGAUACGAAAGCCAGGGUAGCGAACGGGAUUAGAAACCCCAGUAGUCC